RNAcentral lists this ribosomal RNA (495 nucleotides) under uncultured bacterium. Its description in RNAcentral is "partial 16S ribosomal RNA". It matches the Rfam family "Bacterial small subunit ribosomal RNA", at positions 30 to 523 of the family's 1533-position model. The record is from RNAcentral.
AUUGAACGCUGGCGGAAUGCUUUACACAUGCAAGUCGAACGGUAGAGGGGGCAACCCCUCGAGAGUGGCGAACGGGUGAGUAAUACAUCGGAACGUGCCCAGUCGUGGGGGAUAACGUAGCGAAAGUUACGCUAAUACCGCAUACGAUCUACGGAUGAAAGCGGGGGACCGUAAGGCCUCGCGCGAUUGGAGCGGCGAAUGUCAGAUUAGGUACUUGGUGAGGUAAAGGAUCACCAAGCCGACGAUCUGUAGCUGGUCUGAGAGGACGACCAGCCACACUGGGACUGAGACACGGCCCAGACUCCUACGGGAGGCAGCAGUGGGGAAUUUGGACAAUGGGCGCAAGCCUGAUCCAGCCAUUCCGCGUGCAGGACGAAGGCCUUCGGGUUGUAAACUGCUUUUGUACGGAACGAAAAGGCUCUGGUUAAUACCUGGGGCUCAUGACGGUACCGUAAGAAUAAGCACCGGCUAACUACGUGCCAGCCGCCGCAGUAA